Schistocephalus solidus is the source of this 70-nucleotide non-coding RNA. The record is from Rfam. Lineage: Eukaryota; Metazoa; Platyhelminthes; Cestoda; Diphyllobothriidea; Diphyllobothriidae.
GAGGCCGUGGCUCAAUGUUAGAGCGUUCGACUCAAAAACCAAAGGUCGCGGGUUCGAAACCCAGGAUUCA